Long non-coding RNA from Alligator sinensis (Chinese alligator), 333 nucleotides. RefSeq lists it as uncharacterized. The transcript has 4 exons. The record is from RefSeq and is a predicted model, not a curated record. Lineage: Eukaryota; Metazoa; Chordata; Crocodylia; Alligatoridae.
CAGGCAGGCAGAAACAUUGCAUGGCUGAACUGCUGAAUGAAACAUUUGCAGCAGAAAUGCUGUGCAGUUAGUCAUUCUGCACAGGGAAUGUGCAGAACUUCAUCCAGAUCCAAGAAAGUGAAACCGAUAUCCUCUGAUCUACACUGGAAAUCCAGGUUAAAAAGAAGUAAUUUUGUGAAUAUAUUCUGGGAAUUCUUUAAGGAAAGCACACAGAUGAGGGAAUAACAACAUACGAAACAGCAGGUAAUCAUGAGAACCUUCCAGUUGAUGCAACGAGAAAGUGGCAGGUCCUACUAUAGCUGCAGUCUUUUUUGAAACCUGAAUGUGACUGAG